This 462-nucleotide ribosomal RNA is filed under the name Dichaetophora emeishanensis. Its description in RNAcentral is "partial 28S ribosomal RNA". It matches the Rfam family "Eukaryotic large subunit ribosomal RNA", at positions 1508 to 1897 of the family's 3401-position model. Lineage: Eukaryota; Metazoa; Arthropoda; Insecta; Diptera; Drosophilidae. The record is from RNAcentral.
UUCGUGUGAACAGUGGUUGAUCACGAGUUAGUCGGUCCUAAGUUCAAGGCGAAAGCCGAAAAUUUUCAAGUAAAAAUAAUAAAUCAUAAUAUAUGUUUUGCUAUAUAAUACACUUGAAUAAUUUUGAACGAAAGGGAAUACGGUUCCAAUUCCGUAACCUGUUGAGUAUCCGUUUGUUAUUAAAUAUGGGCCUCGUGCUCAUCCUGGCAACAGGAACGACCAUAAAGAAGCCGUCGAGAGAUAUCGGAAGAGUUUUCUUUUCUGUUUUAUAGCCGUACUACCAUGGAAGUCUUUCGCAGAGAGAUAUGGUAGAUGGGCUAGAAGAGCAUGACAUAUACUGUUGUGUCGAUAUUUUCUCCUCGGACCUUGAAAAUUUAUGGUGGGGAUACGCAAACUUCUCAACAGGCCGUACCAAUAUCCGCAGCUGGUCUCCAAGGUGAAGAGUCUCUAGUCGAUAGAAUA